CCUACGGGAGGCAGCAGUGAGGAAUAUUGGUCAAUGGGCGCGACCCUGAACCAGCCAAGUCGCGUGAAGGAUGACUGCCCUACGGGUUUUAAACUUCUUUUGUAUGGGAGUAAAUUGUUCCACCUGUGGGAUUUUGUAUGUCUCAUAUGAUUAAGGCUCGGCUAACUCUGUGCCAGCAGCCGCGGUAAUCCGGAGGAUCCGAGCGUUAUCCGGAUUUAUUGGGUUUAACGGGCGCGUAGAUGGAGUGGUAAGUCAGUUGUGAAAGUUUGCGGCUCAACCGUAGAAUUGCAGUUGAGACUGGCAGUCUGGAGUACAGGAGAGGUAGGCGGAAUUCGGGGUGUAGCGGUGAAAUGCGUAGAUAUCACGAGGAACACCGAUUGCGAAGGCAG
This 389-nucleotide ribosomal RNA is filed under the name uncultured bacterium. Its description in RNAcentral is "partial 16S ribosomal RNA". It matches the Rfam family "Bacterial small subunit ribosomal RNA", at positions 338 to 724 of the family's 1533-position model. The record is from RNAcentral.